CAAACCUCGUGCUCUUCUCAGAUGAUUUCUCUUCCGUUUCGAUCUUGAGCGAAGGAAUUUGAUUGUUUGGAAGCGUGAAGAUACGAUAAUGUCGCUCCAGUCUUACGAUCCUUCCGUUAUUGGAAUGGGCGAUGGUGAUCGACAUAUCAUCUGAUUUCUUCCUUAAAAUCCCACUUUCUUCUCUUCAUUGGUCUCAGAUCCUUUUUAUUUUUGCUUUUUUUUUCCGAUUUAAAUUUGAAUGGGAGAAUUAAUGAUUCCAAAUCCAUUGUUUUUUUCUCUGCAAGGCAGAUGAUGAAUCAUCACAACACAUGCACUACCAUCUGAUCUCCCUACUCCACGCAGUAGCGAUAUGAUUUUGUGGAAAGAUAUUGUUUUUCGUGUGAUUUUAGAGGAAAUGAAGAAUUUGAUAUGCAGUCGGUGACGAAGAUUUAAUGAGAUGCUGAGUUUCCUGUGAUUAACUCACCAAAAUUAUCACCAUCUUUCGGCUGAGAUUACACCUAUCUGUUCCCAACUUUCUUUUUUUUUUGAACUUAGAAUUGAUUGUGUGAUGUUGAAUGCCAUUAGGUAUCUGAUGCUCAGUUCAAUGGUCGUGGCUGGGCAUCUCGUUAUGAUGGCAAAAAGGGAAGAGCAGGUCUUGCGACACUGAACAUUUAGAAGAAAGAUUUCUACAGUUUGAAAGUGAUGUACUACGCACAUUGCAUCAAAUCAGAGUGAUUGGAUAAACUGUGGCCGGGGCUUGGAUAUAAUUGUUGAACCAAAUGUUUAGAUCAUAUGAAUCAGGGAAGCUGCAGUGGACUGUAAAUUUUUGGGGUUUAUGUUAUGCAUAGGACACCGAACACACAAGUGGCAUCACCUUCAUUCAAAUGCAGAAGAACGAUCACAUUAUUACCUAUCCAGAUUCUUCUUUUGUUGGGAAUUCAUCGUUGACUCCGUUGGACUUUUGCGGAGGUUUGUCAACAUGUUGGAAGGUCAAUAUCAUAUCUGGUAGCAUUGCAAUCUUCAUUCUGAAGGCUAAUGUUUGUCAACAUGGGAAUAAUUAUUUCUGUUGACACCGGUCAAUGGAUCUCCACAAGUUAAUUGACAUUAAUUCCGAUGGUGCUGACAGUGUCCGUGCCUCGUGAGAAAACCAACUGCCACAGCCCUGUGGGUUGUGACAAGAGUGCACAGAGAGUUAUCUAAGACAUGUUUCAAUCCAUCAGUUGGAUC
Musa acuminata AAA Group (dessert banana) is the source of this 1206-nucleotide long non-coding RNA. RefSeq lists it as uncharacterized. The transcript has 3 exons. NCBI's taxonomy places the organism in Eukaryota, Viridiplantae, Streptophyta, Magnoliopsida, Zingiberales, Musaceae. The record is from RefSeq and is a predicted model, not a curated record.